ACUAUUUUGGCAGAAGUAAGUGUAACAGAUUUAGAAUCUGUGAAUAUGAUUAUUAUCA
RNAcentral lists this transfer RNA (58 nucleotides) under Hierodula chinensis. RNAcentral's name for it is "tRNA-Leu". The record is from RNAcentral. Lineage: Eukaryota; Metazoa; Arthropoda; Insecta; Mantodea; Mantidae.